CCUACGGGGGGCAGCAGUGGGGAAUAUUGCACAAUGGGCGCAAGCCUGAUGCAGCGACGCCGCGUGAGCGAUGAAGGCCUUCGGGUCGUAAAGCUCUGUCCUAAGGGAAGAAUAAUGACGGAACUUAGGGGGGAAGCCCCGGCUAAUUACGGGCCAGAACCCGCGGUAAAACGUAGGGGGGGAGGUUAACCCGGAAUAACUGGGCGUAAAGGGUGCGUAGGCGGCCCUGCAAGUCAGGAGUUAAAUCCCUCGGCUCAACCGAGGUCAGCUCUUGAAACUGUAGGGCUUGAGUGCAGGAGAGGAGAGCGGAAUUCCUAGUGUAGCGGUGAAAUGCGUAGAUAUUAGGAGGAACACCAGUGGCUAAGGCGGCUCUCUGGACUGCAACUGACGCUGAGGCACGAAAGCGUGGGGAGCGAACAGGAUUAGAUACCCUGGUAGUC
This 440-nucleotide ribosomal RNA is filed under the name uncultured bacterium. Its description in RNAcentral is "bacterial SSU rRNA". It matches the Rfam family "Bacterial small subunit ribosomal RNA", at positions 338 to 795 of the family's 1533-position model. The record is from RNAcentral.